RNAcentral lists this long non-coding RNA (572 nucleotides) under Manihot esculenta (cassava). RNAcentral's name for it is "long non-coding RNA (MESC_LNC002569)". The record is from RNAcentral. Lineage: Eukaryota; Viridiplantae; Streptophyta; Magnoliopsida; Malpighiales; Euphorbiaceae.
UACUACUCUUUUCUUCGUUUUCAUUUGUUCAUCCAACUCUACACCUCUUACCUAAAGAAAUAUCUGGGAAUAUGGGGCACAGGGCAUAAGUGCUGUUUGGUAAUACAGAUGGACGAUAAUGGAAUGGGUUGUAAAAGCCACUAUGUGAAAGUUCCUCCUCAAGGGACCACAGCCCCAUUGAAAAUGGCUUCAUCAACCCAAACAUACUCAAGUGCUCGGCUCCACUGCAUCUUUCUUCGCCUUUGAUUUAAAAAUAAUGGGAUUUUUUUUUCUAACGAAAAAGAAAUCAUUUUACUCGAAUUUUCAUGGCAAACGAGCAUUAUUGCAUCGCUUUCUUUUUCAGCUGAAAAAAGCAGCGCUUUAUUAGAACAAGGGCAGCACCCAAAUCAAUCAGGAAUUAACAUAUAUGCUUUAUUGUGUUAGUAAUGAAUACUCACCACCUUCUUGUUGUCAAAAUUAAUGACAUGAUGAUCUCUUCAUUUGCCCCAAAAAGUAUCUUUUCCUAUAUUAAAAGUGUCACGAGAAAAAUCAUCUUUCCUAACAGGAUAUUGAAAUGAUAUCGUCUUUAAAAC